Molecule: ribosomal RNA, 253 nt
Filed under: uncultured bacterium
Lineage: Bacteria
Description: partial 16S ribosomal RNA
Rfam family: Bacterial small subunit ribosomal RNA
Source: RNAcentral
UACGGAGGUGGCAAUCGUUACUCGGAUUUACUGGGUGUAAAGGGCACGUAGGCGGUCCGUUAAGCCCUACCUAAAAUGCACUGGCUCAACCAGGGCAUGUGGCAGGGGACUGGCGGACUGGAGGACAGGAGAGGCGAGCGGAAUUCCCGGUGUAAGGGUGAAAUCUGUAGAUAUCGGGAGGAACACCAGUGGCGAAAGCGGCUCGCUGGCCUGUUUCUGACGCUGAGGUGCGAAAGCUAGGGGAGAAAACAGG